RNAcentral lists this long non-coding RNA (303 nucleotides) under Salvia miltiorrhiza (redroot sage). RNAcentral describes it as "long non-coding RNA (SMIL_LNC002586)". The record is from RNAcentral. Lineage: Eukaryota; Viridiplantae; Streptophyta; Magnoliopsida; Lamiales; Lamiaceae.
CACAGGUUUUAAGAAAGCUGAUAAAGUGGUUGUAAGUGAAAUAUAAGGGUAGUUGACUAAAGUGAUAAAGGUAGUUGACUAAAGUGUUAAAGGUGUUGUGUGGUGGGUCCACUAGUAAUAAAGUGUAAUAAAGUAGAAUAUAAAAAUGAAAUAAGUUGUUGUAUGGUGGGUCCAUUAGUGGCAAUUGAUGGUAAAUAAAUGAAAGAAGAAAGGGUGUAGUGGUACAAAAAGCAGAGUAGGGCAUUACUUUGUGGACAAGGAAAAAUGGGUAAGUAGGGCAAUAUUUCGUGGACGGAGGGAGUA